This 1784-nucleotide long non-coding RNA is filed under the name Pogona vitticeps (central bearded dragon). RNAcentral's name for it is "lncRNA (ENSPVIG00000014566.1)". The record is from RNAcentral. Lineage: Eukaryota; Metazoa; Chordata; Lepidosauria; Squamata; Agamidae.
AUGCAAUGGAGCAGGGCAGAAAGUGCCACUAACUUCAGGAAACUCUUGCUUUCUGACGGUCUUCAGGGAUUUUCACCAUAUUGCUGGCAACACAAAGUGGUAAGUUGUUUUGGCACAGCUCAGUUAUUACUGCGUAAUUCAAGCAAUGUUUGCAACUCUUGUUUAAUGUCCACAAAUUUCUUGAGGGGUAGGCACAAAAUGUCAAGGUUUCUUGUCUGCAUGAUUCAUUUUUCACAUACCUGUCUUGCUGUUCUUCUAAGGUGCUGGAUAUGGGCAUUAUGCCAUUAUAUCACAUUACUGUGGGGAAAGAUAGACAGAAAAAAUUGUGGCUUGCCCAGGGUUACACAUGGGAGCAUAAUUUCUGAAUUAAGUCAUUAUAUAUUGCUGCUCUGCCAUUGCUAAUGAUAUUCAUAUUGUGAUGCACAUAUUUGUUUAACCAGAAUUGCUAAACAAAUGGGCAUUUUAGCUACUGUACAGAUUUAAUCUCAUUCAAUAUGUUGAUUUGAAGCCAUUUCCCCCUCCCACUACAUCUUGCUUGUAGAGCAGUUAUAAUGUGUGCCUGAUUUAUCCUAAUCAGCCAGGUUUUUGUAAAUUUCCUUUCUCUGCUCUUGACUAGUUGAAAUCCAUACUAGCCCUAUUUGGUUCAUCACAGACCAAUUUUAUAUCAAAAACUGGUAAGUCUAUGUGAGAAAGUAGCACUGGACUACGUCAGACCCAUGAAUGUGACACACUCUGGCCCACAGAUGGGUUUUGAUUCUGUGUAUAGCCUCCUGUCGCUUGCAGGAGAGUUGUAGAUAACACCCAAGGGAAGUAAAGGUGGGAAAGGUCCAAAACUGCAUAUGGGAGACAAUGAUCAAGGCGGGAAAUCUGGAGAAAGUGAAAAAGAACCAAUCAUAGAGGGAGAAGAGCAAGACAUCAUAGUGGAAGAGGAGAUAAGAGAGGGGAUAGACUGGGUUGAGGUGGUAGAGGAUACAGGAACAGGAGGAAUGGUCCUGGAGGAGGGAGGAGAAGGAUCUACCAGUAGGAUGAAGAUGGAUCAGUUUAGAAGACCCCUGCACUAAGGAGGUAGCUCACAUGAAGCUACCUCGAGAGGAGAUAAGGUAUGCAAGCCCAUGCCAAAGCCUUCAUACUGGGGGGGGGGGAGAAAGACGUGAACAGCAGAGAAGAGGUGAGGGUCCAGCUAUCUGACCUAGAAGGGGUAGAAUGGAUGGUUAUGGUAUACUACAAGAGAGAGGGUCACUUGAGGAACUCCCACCCACCAAGUCAGUUCUAGAGAAGCCAGCCAAAGGGGAGUGGGCUUGCUGCCCUUGUGGAAUUCUGUGUGCCAGUCACAGUACAGCUCUAUACAAACCCACCAAUUAGGAGAGGUUUCAUGGGUACCCAUGAAAUUGGAGGAAGAAGUAUGGCUAUGUCCUCUGAAGUUAGAAGACCCCAUUGGUCCUAUUUAUUUAUUUAUUUAUGUAUUUAUUUAUUUGAUUUAUAUCCCGCCCAUCUAGUAUAAUUAUACCACUCUGAGCAGCUUCCUACUGGUCCACUUCCUACUGAAGUUAUUGUUGCUGAACCUAUGUUAUUGUAAAAAAAAAAUAAUCAUGAAUUUUCCAGUGGAAUAAUUCUUUAGAGAGGAAGGGAAUCGGGAGCUGAGGGACUGAAGACAGAACUCAUCAACAGUCUAGUCUUUUUUCUUUAUUUCUUUCAUUGGUACAUUGCCUUUCUCAUUUGCAGAAUACAAGGUUGCUUACAAGAUGAAUUAAAAAACAAAUAAAAAGGUAACCUAAAGAUAUGCA